AUGGCAAUUGUCCAUACAUACGGGAAGCCUGACAUCUUCUUGACCAUGACCUGCAAUCCUAACUGGGAAUAUAUAUCGAAUGAAUUGUUUCCUGGCCAUACAACGCAAGACCGACCUGAUCUUGUGGCUCGCGUGUUCCAUGGAAAGCUAGAGGCUAUGAAAGAGAUGUUGUUCAAGAAGCAUAUCAUGGGUCUUGUUGUCGCAUAUGGAUACGUAGUCGAGAUUCAGAAGAUGGGCCUCCCCCAUGCACACUUUCUGUUGAUCAUGGAUUCAACAUAUAAGCUCGUCGUUCCGGAGCGGUACUAUCUGUGUGUGCCGCUAAACCAUGUUCCGGCUAAGACAUCCUUCGAGGACCUGCUCACCGUGGACGGAAGGCUAUGUGGGAGCUUUCGAGAGGCUGCUGAGAGGCUAGGACUCAUCGAGGCAGAUAACACGGUCGACGAUUGUCUUACUGAGGCAGAGCAGUGGGCGAUGCCCUGUUCGCUUAGGAGGCUCUUCGCAACAAUCUUGGUGCAUUGUGAGACAGGCAAUGUGCAUGGUUUAUGGGAUAGACACUUCGAGCCUAUGCCUGAUGACUAUCGUCGAUCACACACGUGCCCGAAUGAGGUGGAGCAGAUGUCUAAGCGAGAAAAAAUAAAAUAA
This 642-nucleotide ribosomal RNA is filed under the name Triticum aestivum (bread wheat). RNAcentral's name for it is "partial small subunit ribosomal RNA". The record is from RNAcentral. Lineage: Eukaryota; Viridiplantae; Streptophyta; Magnoliopsida; Poales; Poaceae.